This 301-nucleotide ribosomal RNA is filed under the name uncultured bacterium. Its description in RNAcentral is "partial 16S ribosomal RNA". It matches the Rfam family "Bacterial small subunit ribosomal RNA", at positions 509 to 807 of the family's 1533-position model. The record is from RNAcentral.
CAGUCGCCGCGGGAACACGUAGGUGGCAAGCGUUGUCCGGAAUUAUUGGGCGUAAAGGGCUCGCAGGCGGUUUCUUAAGUCUGAUGUGAAAGCCCCCGGCUCAACCGGGGAGGGUCAUUGGAAACUGGGAAACUUGAGUGCAGAAGAGGAGAGUGGAAUUCCACGUGUAGCGGUGAAAUGCGUAGAGAUGUGGAGGAACACCAGUGGCGAAGGCGACUCUCUGGUCUGUAACUGACGCUGAGGAGUGAAAGCGUGGGGAGCGAACAGGAUUAGAUACCCGAGUAGUCCCUGUCUCUUAUAC